GAUGAACGCUGGCGGCGUGCCUAAUACAUGCAAGUCGAGCGAACAGACGAGGAGCUUGCUCCUCUGACGUUAGCGGCGGACGGGUGAGUAACACGUGGAUACCUACCUAUAAGACUGGGAUAACUUCGGGAAACCGGAGCUAAUACCGGAUAAUAUAUUUAACCGCAUGGUUCAAUAGGGAAAGACGGUUUUGCUGUCACUUAUAGAUGGAUCCGCGCCGCAUUAGCUAGUUGGUAAGGUAACGGCUUACCAAGGCAACGAUGCGUAGCCGACCUGAGAGGGAGAUCGGCCACACUGGAACUGAGACACGGUCCAGACUCCUACGGGAGGCAGCAGUAGGGAAUCUUCCGCAAUGGGCGAAAGCCUGACGGAGCAACGCCGCGUGAGUGAUGAAGGUCUUCGGAUCGUAAAACUCUGUUAUUAGGGAAGAACAAAUGUGUAAGUAACUAUGCACGUCUUGACGGUACCUAAUCAGAAAGCCACGGCUAACUACGUG
This 496-nucleotide ribosomal RNA is filed under the name uncultured bacterium. RNAcentral describes it as "partial 16S ribosomal RNA". It matches the Rfam family "Bacterial small subunit ribosomal RNA", at positions 28 to 507 of the family's 1533-position model. The record is from RNAcentral.